AUUGUGAAAAGAAAAUAGAAGUGCAACACACCUCUACGUGAAAGGGCACUUAUUUUUUAGAAGAAUUUGGUGUGCUGGCGGAAAAAUAUAGCAUCAUGGCCCACAAGCUUGCUAUCAUGGGCUGAUUAAAUUGUUGAGAAGUGGUGCUGCUAUUUAAAAGAGCUGUGUGCUGGAAGAAAAAAAGUAGGACUCCACGUUGGCAACAAGAAAAAUAGGGCACGGACAAUGAAGCAAAAUAGGGGUGAUAUUUUUAUUUCCUGGAAGCAGCACACAGGGGAGAAUGGAGGGCUACGGAUAAGGUGGCAGCCGCCACCAUAUGGCCUAAAAAAGUGGUGCACGGUGACGAAUUACUGGGAAACACACGUUGAUUCAAUUUCUUUGGAGAUUACAUUCCAUUUUGAAGGCAGUUUUUACGUCCAACUUUAUUAGGAUUUGGAUUUUAGAAAAGUAGCUAACUCAUUUCACUUUUACUCUACUGUUUUAAUUUUCUUUUAAGUGUUGUUCGGUGAUGGAUGUGCAUGGUAACAAUCAGCAUUUCUCGUUUUGGCUCAUUAGUUGCAUUUUACAACGUCUUGCAUUGAUAGCAGUUUCAAUUAGUAUCUCAUCCUUUAGUUUCCUCGUGCAUUUUUACAUUAUUUUUUUUAUCGGUCAUGCUUUUUAUAUGUUUUUUUUUCUUAUUUUACUUUAGUUGUUCAAUGAUGGAUUGUUUAAUUUAGAUCUGCCUUUUUUUUUAGUAGCUUAUUUGUCGCAUUUAAAUUUGUUCACCGCAUUUAAAUUUAAUAGUACUAGAUGUGUUUCCUCAUUUACCUGUAUCAGUCAAUUGUUGCUUUCAAAUUUAUGCAAGCUGCGACUUUUAAUUUGUUUAAUAUAGGACCAUUCAUUUUACUGUUUUCGUUUAUUAUGUUG
Molecule: long non-coding RNA, 906 nt
Filed under: Vigna radiata
Lineage: Eukaryota; Viridiplantae; Streptophyta; Magnoliopsida; Fabales; Fabaceae
Description: long non-coding RNA (VRAD_LNC006828)
Source: RNAcentral